RNAcentral lists this ribosomal RNA (607 nucleotides) under Halopseudomonas xiamenensis. RNAcentral's name for it is "bacterial SSU rRNA". It matches the Rfam family "Bacterial small subunit ribosomal RNA", at positions 123 to 725 of the family's 1533-position model. The record is from RNAcentral. Lineage: Bacteria; Pseudomonadati; Pseudomonadota; Gammaproteobacteria; Pseudomonadales; Pseudomonadaceae.
AAUCUGCCUGGUAGUGGGGGAUAACGUCCGGAAACGGGCGCUAAUACCGCGUACGUCCUACGGGAGAAAGCAGGGGAUCUUCGGACCUUGCGCUAUCAGAUGAGCCCAGGUCGGAUUAGCUAGUAGGUGAGGUAAUGGCUCACCUAGGCGACGAUCCGUAACUGGUCUGAGAGGAUGAUCAGUCACACUGGAACUGAGACACGGUCCAGACUCCUACGGGAGGCAGCAGUGGGGAAUAUUGGACAAUGGGGGCAACCCUGAUCCAGCCAUGCCGCGUGUGUGAAGAAGGUCUUCGGAUUGUAAAGCACUUUAAGUUGGGAGGAAGGGCUUUAGGUUAAUACCCUGAAGUUUUGACGUUACCAACAGAAUAAGCACCGGCUAACUCUGUGCCAGCAGCCGCGGUAAUACAGAGGGUGCAAGCGUUAAUCGGAAUUACUGGGCGUAAAGCGCGCGUAGGUGGUUCAGUAAGAUGGGUGUGAAAUCCCCGGGCUUAACCUGGGAACUGCUUUCAUAACUGCUGAGCUAGAGUACGGUAGAGGGUAGUGGAAUUUCCUGUGUAGCGGUGAAAUGCGUAGAUAUAGGAAGGAACACCAGUGGCGAAGGCGAC